Molecule: long non-coding RNA, 434 nt
Filed under: Elaeis guineensis (African oil palm)
Lineage: Eukaryota; Viridiplantae; Streptophyta; Magnoliopsida; Arecales; Arecaceae
Description: long non-coding RNA (EGUI_LNC028406)
Source: RNAcentral
GAGCUGUCGAAGACUAAGAAGGCACUCAAUGAGGCUUCAGUGAAAAUUGAUCGGUUAAAGUCGACCAUUCAUCGGGAUGUCGUGGUGCACUCCGUGAAGAUGGCUCGAUUGACAACUGAGUUUGUAAAGCUAUAAAAACUUGUCGAGGAUACCACCUGGGGUGUCACUACCAAACAACACCAUCUCCAUAGUCAGCUCCAUUAGGCUCAGGGAAAGAUUUCAAAACUGGAGUUGUCGGAGGCUACUGCUAAAGAAGCUAGAGGGUGCUUCGCCGAUCAUAUGGCGUGGCUCUAAAAAGAUCUUCAUGUUGUCCGAGAGAAAAUUUUUAGGCUUGAGAAUUCAGGGAAUGCGGUUGUCGAAUACAGACCAAGGGAAAGUCGACCAAUGGUCAUAAGAUCCCAGAGCCUAAUCGAACAAGGAUUAGCGGACCCUAC